GAUGAAGAACGCAGCGAAAUGCGAUAAGUAAUGUGAAUUGCAGAAUUCAGUGAAUCAUCGAAUCUUUGAACGCACAUUGCGCCCCCCAGUAUUCUGGCGGGCAUGCCUGUUCGAGCGUCAUUUCAACCAUCAAGCCCUGCUUGUGUUGGGGUCCUGCGGCUGCCCGCAGGCCCUGAAAACCAGUGGCGGGCUCGCUAGUCACACCGAGCGCAGUAGCACAUCUCGCUCAGGGCGUGCGGCGGGCUCCAGCCGUUAAAGCACCCACCUUUCGCAAGGUUGACCUCGGAUCAGGUAGGAAUACCCGCUGAACUUAAGCAUAUCAAUAAGGGAGGA
This 333-nucleotide unclassified non-coding RNA is filed under the name soil metagenome. Its description in RNAcentral is "partial contains 5.8S ribosomal RNA, internal transcribed spacer 2, and large subunit ribosomal RNA". The stretch from base 1 to 120 matches the Rfam family "5.8S ribosomal RNA", at positions 35 to 154 of the family's 154-position model. The record is from RNAcentral.